This 250-nucleotide ribosomal RNA is filed under the name uncultured bacterium. RNAcentral's name for it is "partial 16S ribosomal RNA". It matches the Rfam family "Bacterial small subunit ribosomal RNA", at positions 524 to 773 of the family's 1533-position model. The record is from RNAcentral.
UACGUAGGGCCCGAGCGUUAUCCGGUAUUAUUGGGCGUAAAGAGCGCGUAGGCGGUUAGGUAAGACAGCGGUUAAAGAUCCGAGCCCAACUCGGAGAUCGCCACUGUUACUGCCUGACUAGACGAUAGCAGGGGCAAGCAGAAUUCUCGGUGUAGGAGUGAAAUCCGUUGAGAUCGAGAGGAAUACCAAUGGCGAAGGCAGCUUGCUAGGCUAUAUGUGACGCUGAGGCGCGAAAGCGUGGGGAGCGAAC